This is an RNA transcript of Propithecus coquereli (Coquerel's sifaka), 663 nucleotides long. It is a transcript of the gene named cysteine-rich PDZ-binding protein-like, with no coding region annotated. Lineage: Eukaryota; Metazoa; Chordata; Mammalia; Primates; Indriidae. The record is from RefSeq and is a predicted model, not a curated record. The transcript has a single exon.
CUUCGAAGGCUGUAGUGUUGAUGUUUUCAAGCUGUUGUUGCUUUGGCUUCUGGGGGAGAGAUGGCAGAAGGAUGGUGUGUGAAAAAUGUGAAAAGAAACUUGGUACUGUUAUCACUCCAGAUACAUGGAAAGAUGGUGCUAGGAAUACCACAGAAAGUGGUGGAAGAAAGCUAAAUGAAAAUAAAGCUUUGACUUCAAAAAAAGCCAGAUUCGAUCCAUAUGGAAAGAGUAAGUUCUUCACUUGCAGAAUUGUAAAAGUUCUGUGCACCAACCAGGUUCUCAUUAUUGCCAGGGCUGUGCCUACAAAAAAAGAUAUCUGUGCGAUGUGUGGAAAAAAGGUUUUAGAUACCAAAAACUACAAGCAAACAUCUGUCUAGAUGUAUUGAUGAAGUUUUCUGGCUUUCUAUGUGAUUUAACUUUCUGCUUUGAAUUUUCGAGGCAUAACAUAGAUGUUCAAUUUACAAAAUAAUAUGUUUUAAGACACAUAAGUUUAAACCAGGGAAGUUGAUUGAUAUUCAUUCUUUUGCUCUCAAGAAGUUCUGAACAGCAACAAUGUAACUAGUCUUCUGCCUUAAGUGGUUAUUUUCUCUACAAGCAUUUUAUUGAACUAGAAUAAGUGGCAAAUUUAAAGAAAACCAUUUCCCAGUUCUGUAUGCACUUUUA